Macaca nemestrina (pig-tailed macaque) is the source of this 94-nucleotide microRNA precursor. Lineage: Eukaryota; Metazoa; Chordata; Mammalia; Primates; Cercopithecidae. The record is from Ensembl.
GGGCCGACCCUGAGGGUCAGGUGAGGCCCUUAGGGCACAGCAGUGCCAUCUCCCCUGUGCUCCCAGGGCCUCUCCUGUCCCUCGAGGUCGGCCC